GGUGGUCCUCUGUAGCUCAGCUGGUAGAGCACGGCGCUUAUAACGCCAAGGUAGUGGGUUCGAUCCCCACGACCACCC
Non-coding RNA from Coregonus clupeaformis (lake whitefish), 78 nucleotides. NCBI's taxonomy places the organism in Eukaryota, Metazoa, Chordata, Actinopteri, Salmoniformes, Salmonidae. The record is from the annotation of a RefSeq genome assembly.